UUUUGAAAAAAUGUUUGUUUAAUAGUAAUCAAUUAUAAUUAAAGUAUAUUAAAUAAUAUUAUAUACAUCAGGUAUAUGGUCAGUUUUAGAUUCUGAGGACUGUCUCAGGUUUAUGGUGAUGUUUAUUUUAAUGCAACUAUAUAGGUAAUAUUACAUUAAAAUUAUAUAUUACAACAAAUUCUACACCAAUAUGAGUGAUUCCACUAACUAAUUGAGACUUGUAGGUACCAGCCCAUAGAUAAUAUACUACUCAUGAACCAGCCCCACUAUAUGCACAUACUGUAACUUCAGACACUCCUAUCUUCAAUGCUUCAAAUAACCACCUCUGUAGUAUUAUUUUUUCUUAUGGAUAAACAGAUGAACCCCAACAAGUGGGAACUGCAUUACUUCCCAACAUGGUGCAUCCUUUAUUAAAACAAUAAAUAUUAAUUACACCUAGUUAACGGUAUCAUUAUUGAAAAUGCUUCUAUAGACAGGGUGGGACCUGACUAACCUGCCAAUCUAGAAGCCCUGAUAAGAUAAAUUUAUAUACCCCAAAAAAAUAUCAACAAUUGUUCUAUAUCUAAAUAAGCAAAUUUUUAUUCUCAUCUUAUAUAUUCAUGCAUCUAUGAAAUCACUCAAUAUUCUCAUCUAUACUUAUAAAAUCCAAAUACCACUCACUCACUGAUCACUGUAUCUCAAAAACUACUCAACGUACAGACUUGAAAUUUGGAAUAGGGGUUCUUCUCAUAUUUUCACCGUGCAAUAAGAAAGGAUUUUCAAAAAUGUUGCGUUUUAGUAGAGUAAUUAACAAUUAUAAUUAUUCACCGCCAUAAAUUUAUAUACCCCAAAAAAAUAUCAACAAUUGUUCUAUAUCUAAAUAAGCAAAUUUUUAUUCUCAUCUUAUAUAUUCAUGCAUCUAUGAGAUCACUCAAUAUUCUCAUAAUAUAAUAUAAUUUGACUUCUAUUAUCUGUACAUAUCACAUUACACCUCGCUAAGUUAUGAAUGCAAACGUCAUAUAUUUAUAUGAAAUAACUAUAUAGAUAGAAUAUUGCAAGUGAAUAUUAUAGCAGGCAGUGACAUAACAAGAGGGAUGAUCCUUGGAUCUGGAUCUAUCUUAGAGUACUCUGUACUCGUAUAAUACAUAACACUAUAGACAGUUUAACUAUAGUAAAUACAAAAUACCCAUAUUAAACAAAUAAUUAUAAUAUUUAAAUAUUAUUGUUUUGUAGAUACUAUUUUAUUCUUUCAUUACUGCAUUGCUACCAUUAAUAAUUUGAUUAAAAAUUAUAAUAUUAAUGAUAUUUAAUAUUGAUGAAAUUUGUUUAAUUUAUAAAUUCUUAUUGUUGCCAGAUAGACGUUGGGUGUGUCAGAAUAAUUGUGGACGUACAUAUUUAAACAAAAAGAGUCUUAUCCGUCAUUUAAGGUAUUGCAUUUCGUCAAAAAGCUAUUUUAAUGAAUACAAAAAAUCCUGAAUUAGAAGUCCGUUUCUUCUGUUUAAAUAUGUGUGGUCGGAGCUAUAAGAAUAAACAGCAUUUGACCCGCCACAUGACCAAUGAAUGUGGUGUACAACCAAAGUUUCAAUGUAAAUACUGCAAGAAAUGUUUCACACGAAAACAGACAUUAAAAAUACAUUUAGUAUCUGUGCAUAACCGUUCACCAGAUGAAAUCCAAGGAAACCCUCGUCACCGUUUAAAUUGGACCACUGAUAAUUGAAUUCUAUCAUGUUUUAUCUUGAUAUUUUUAGUUUUUAAUACAAUUAAGCUAGCUAAGAUUUCCAUGUAUAUAUUCUAUUAUUUUACAAAAUUAUAAUUUCAUUUUUAUAGUUAUACACAUUUAUUUUAUUUUUGGGAAAAUGAUGACAGUUAAAAGAGGACUAUUGUUGAGACUUAUUGAUUGACAUGUCAUUGUUUAUCCUUACAUUAAACGCUUAGUGUACUCGUACUACCAAUAAACAUUUUUUUAGAAAUAUAUUAUAUCUCAAUAAUUAUAUUCAUACCUAAUUAUUGUUUGUCGCAAACGCUAUACACAUAUUAUGCUAAACAUACAAGUAUACAAUAGGGAUUUCACAAUUUAUAGUCUAACAGAGAAAUCUUUUGACGUUCACCGAAAAGCUGUUCUGAUGCAAGCAGCGAUCACUGGAGUCAAUACUAAAAUUUGUUUGACCCAUGAAUUAUUUGAAUUUAAAUAUUGUGUAAAAACACAUAGAUAUAUACAUAAAUAUAAGAUUGAUAGGUACAAGGUACUUCAUAUUUUUUUCAUUUUUGUCAGUACCAACUUCCAAUCUAAAACACAAUCUACACAAAAUAAUUAAAUAAAUAUUGUUAAAUUUGAAAUCUAUUGACAUUAUUAUUUACGGAGAAAGAAAAUGUGUAUUUAUUCAUUGAUUGUGCUGAUGUUUGUGAUCUUCAAGAAUUUUAUAAUAAUAAUUAUUCCUAAAAAUAUAUUAUGUGUUAAAAUUUGUUUUAUAUUGAUGUGAUUUUUUAUCAAAUUGUAAAUGGUAAUGCUUGUACAAAAAGUUGAACUUUUAAAACUAUGCUACAUUGAUUAGGAUUGUAAUUCAUUAUACUAUACUCUAUGUUUUUCAAAAUGUUAGUUUGAUUUAGAUUCAAUUAUAGUAAUGCACAUUGUUCAAAAAUUAAUAUAUAUAAUAGUUGAAUACUUGAAUAGCAUAAGUAUGUAUUAAAAUAGAAAGUUUGAAACAAGCUAUUUUAGAAAGUUUUAAUAAUUCUUAAGAUACCUAUAGUUGGCAUUUAUCAGAAGUAGUGUAUUACCAAUAUACCAUGACUAUAAAAGACAAAAGAUGUUCUGCACAGUGCAUAAACACAUUAUGUUUACUUUAUUUUAAUUAUUUGCUUGUUACGUUUGUCUAUAGAUGAUCAGAGAAUUCAGAUCUCACUUACCCAGAAUUUAUAUUGUAUAGCAUAUAUAAAAUAUUUAAAUAUAUCAAGUCUUAGAA
Molecule: long non-coding RNA, 2939 nt
Filed under: Acyrthosiphon pisum (pea aphid)
Lineage: Eukaryota; Metazoa; Arthropoda; Insecta; Hemiptera; Aphididae
Description: uncharacterized LOC107884549
Source: RNAcentral